Molecule: ribosomal RNA, 468 nt
Filed under: uncultured bacterium
Lineage: Bacteria
Description: partial 16S ribosomal RNA
Rfam family: Bacterial small subunit ribosomal RNA
Source: RNAcentral
GACGAACGCUGGCGGCGUGCUUAACACAUGCAAGUCGAACGGAAAUUCCCUGCUUUUGUGUGGUGCUCGAGUGGCGAACGGGUGAGUAACACGUGAUUUACCUUCCCUUGACUUUGAGAUAACUUCAUUUAACUUUGUCUACUACCGGUUAGUAGCUCCUGCUUCAUGGUUGUGUUUGGAUAGUUUCGGCGGUUGGGGAUGUACUCUCGGCUUAUCAGCUUGUUGGUGGGGUAGUGGCUUACCAAGGCUUUGACGAGUAGCCGGCCUGAGAGGGUGACCGGCAAAAUUGGGACUGAGAUAAGGCCCAGAGUCAUAAGGGAGGCAGCAGUGGGGAAGAAUGAACAAUGGACGGAAGCCGGAUGCAGCAAGGCGGCGUGAGGGAUGACGGCCUUCGGGUUGUAAACCGCUAUCGCCUGUGACGAAGGGUGAGUGACGGUAAUGGGGAAAGAAGCACCGGCUAACUACGUG